CCACUGCAGUUCAGCCUUCUCCUUCCCAAGGGCCACAGACAGUUCUUCCAUGGUCCCCCUCAAGGAGUAGAGCUCGUCAGAGUCUUGAACCGAAAUGACCUGGGCUCUCUCGGACAACUGCUUCUGAAGGCGAGCAACCUCAUCGGUUGCCGUCUUAAGCCUCCUUCGGUAGUCAUCUACUUGCCCACACCAGCCGACUUGGUAGGCAUUGUAAUUCGCCUUAGCAUCCUGUAGCUACUUUUGGAGGUCGGAGAAUUUCUUUGACCAGUUUCGAUUGUGGUCGGCCUGAGUUGUAAGCCAGGAUGAGCUCCCUUCCAAUUGGCCGAUCUUCUCCCGUGCGACCACCAGCUCGACCUCGAGGGAGCUGAUCUUGGAAGCCUGAGUCCAAGAUCGGUCGCUGGCGCAUUUCUGGAGUUCCUCGUGCUCCUUCACGAAGUCGGCCUUCUUCCGGGUGUAGUCCAUGAAGCUCUUUUUGUGGAGGUUCUGAAGGUGAGUAACCUCCAUA
This 505-nucleotide long non-coding RNA is filed under the name Elaeis guineensis (African oil palm). RNAcentral describes it as "long non-coding RNA (EGUI_LNC068651)". Lineage: Eukaryota; Viridiplantae; Streptophyta; Magnoliopsida; Arecales; Arecaceae. The record is from RNAcentral.